This 497-nucleotide ribosomal RNA is filed under the name uncultured bacterium. RNAcentral's name for it is "partial 16S ribosomal RNA". It matches the Rfam family "Bacterial small subunit ribosomal RNA", at positions 28 to 507 of the family's 1533-position model. The record is from RNAcentral.
GACGAACGCUGGCGGCGUGCCUAAUACAUGCAAGUUGAGCGCUGAAGGUUGGUACUUGUACCAACUGGAUGAGCAGCGAACGGGUGAGUAACGCGUGGGGAAUCUGCCUUUGAGCGGGGGACAACAUUUGGAAACGAAUGCUAAUACCGCAUAAAAACUUUAAACACAAGUUUUAAGUUUGAAAGAUGCAAUUGCAUCACUCAAAGAUGAUCCCGCGUUGUAUUAGCUAGUUGGUGAGGUAAAGGCUCACCAAGGCGAUGAUACAUAGCCGACCUGAGAGGGUGAGCGGCAACAGGAAGACUGAGACACAGCCCAAACUACGACGGGGGGCAGCAGUAGGGAGCCGACGAGAAUGGACGAAAGUGGGACCGAGCAACGCCGCGUGAGUGAAGAAAGAAUGCGGAUCGUAAAGCUCGGAUGGUAGAGAAGAGCGGGGGGGAGAGUAGAAAGCUCAUCAAAUGACGGGAACUAGCCGGAGGGGGAAGGCGAACUACGUG